Molecule: transfer RNA, 74 nt
Filed under: Ogataea polymorpha
Lineage: Eukaryota; Fungi; Ascomycota; Pichiomycetes; Pichiales; Pichiaceae
Also listed under: 2 other names
Rfam family: tRNA
About the family: Transfer RNA (tRNA) molecules are approximately 80 nucleotides in length.
Source: Rfam by way of RNAcentral
GUUAAUAUAGUUUAACUGGUUAAAACAAGUGCUUCAUAAGCAUUAAAUGUUAAGUUCAAAUCUUACUAUUAACC